AAUGAUCUUCUGUACUCACAGAAUGCCAUACAUUUACUUUAAACUAGAGUGCACCUGUAGGCAUACCUGAUUUGACCCUUCACUGUUUGGUAAAACACAUGAAAGUUCCUCUCAAUUCUCUGUACAUUUGGAAAUGUGUUCAUUGCCCCAAAGUCAAAAAUGUGAUGAUCAAAACAAAUAGGAAAAGUUCUUAAAGUUAAAGUUUUCUAUCAUGAAUGUGCAGAUUAAAGCAUCGGCCACAAGAGUACAUUCAACAACCUAACCAUUAUUCAAGUUGCAUUGGGGACACCCUGGUGAACAUAUACAAAUACACUACAUUACAGGUCAAGGAAGACAUGUUGAUCAAACAGCUGUGAGCAAUCAAGUGAAAUUCCUCAGCUGUCUCACAGUGCGUGCUGCUCUGCCAAGACCUAACGUGAAAAAGCUUAAUACUAUUUUGAGUACGUAAUGGAUCACAACGCGAUAUUUUCCUAGGAAACCAUUUGACGUCCAAAGAGUAAUAAUGUGUCUGAAAGCAUGUGUGACUGGACAUUGCACACGCAUUGGCUACACUGGAGCGGUACAGGCCUACUUACAUGCAGUUUACUUCAUAAUGCUUUGCAUUCCUGUUAUAUUUGCAUAAAAUGUGUGAGGCUCAUAGGCGGCAUUUCCUCCUUGAUGGAAUCGCUUGUGUUAGUUAGGCCUUUCCUUCAACUUCCGACUUUUGAACCUCACACCCAUUGACACCGCCAUGUGUUACCAACAUUGACUCAUUUCAUGUAUUGGCCAACAAACGAACUUGUAGGCCUACGUGCCAUGGUUGUCACAUUUUAAUAAAACAUGGUUAAUAUUUAAUUAGAGGAACAUACCCCAAUGUACUGAUGAAGCCAUUGACAGUGCCUUCCGCGUAAAGCGACACAAUGUCUCCAAUAUGAAGAAAACUAGAUCUGUUGUCUGACAUUUUCGCUUAAUUCUGUCCAAAAGUUGGCUUUCCAGGACAAUGACCCAACACACCUCCAGGCUGUGUAAGGGCUAUAUGACCAAGGAGAGUGAUGGAGUGCUGCAUCAGAUGACCUGGCCUCCACAAUCACCCGAGCUCAACCCAAUUGAGAUGGGUUGGGUUGAGUUGGAAAAGCAGCCAACAAGCACUCAGCAUAUGUGGGAACUCCUUCAAAACGGUUGGAAAAGCAUUCCUCAUGAAGCUGGUGGAGAGAAUGCCAAGUGUGCAAAGCUUUGUAACGCCAUGUAUUUGCUAUUUGUGUUUACGACUAAGACCCCUCAUGUUCCCCAAUUAUGAGACAAAUAUUUUCCUGCCCUCGCGGAAGAGUUGAGCUCUUCUCCAACACCCUCUAUCCAUGAUGAGCCCGUCAUGUACUGAAGUCAAGCCACUGAAGACAUCAACCCGUCCUGUCAUGUCCUGAAGCCAAGCCUCUGAACACAUCAAGUCUAGCAGCACUCGGACUGGUCAGACACCAAACGAUAUCCUGUACCUGGCAGCAGCUUCCUUGGUCAACUUGGACAGCCUGAUCCCCCAGCAUCUGUCCAUACAGUACCGCCUGCUGGCUUGUGAAAAAUAAAGACCCAUUGUACCUUG
This is a long non-coding RNA of Oncorhynchus mykiss (rainbow trout), 1573 nucleotides long. RefSeq lists it as uncharacterized. Lineage: Eukaryota; Metazoa; Chordata; Actinopteri; Salmoniformes; Salmonidae. The record is from RefSeq and is a predicted model, not a curated record.